AGUGAACGCUGGCGGCAGGCCUAACACAUGCAAGUCGAGCGGCAGCGCGGGGGCAACCCUGGCGGCGAGCGGCGGACGGGUGAGGAAUACAUCGGAAUCUGCCUUGUUGUGGGGAAUAACGUAGGGAAACUUACGCUAAUACCGCAUAAGACCGAAAGGUGAAAGUGGGGGAUCGCAAGACCUCACGCGACAAGAUGAGCCGAUGUCGGAUUAGCUAGUUGGUGGGGUAAUGGCCCACCAAGGCGACGAUCCGUAGCUGGUCUGAGAGGAUGAUCAGCCACACUGGGACUGAGACACGGCCCAGACUCCUACGGGAGGCAGCAGUGGGGAAUAUUGGACAAUGGGCGCAAGCCUGAUCCAGCCAUGCCGCGUGUGUGAAGAAGGC
This 385-nucleotide ribosomal RNA is filed under the name uncultured Dokdonella sp. Its description in RNAcentral is "bacterial SSU rRNA". It matches the Rfam family "Bacterial small subunit ribosomal RNA", at positions 30 to 415 of the family's 1533-position model. Lineage: Bacteria; Pseudomonadati; Pseudomonadota; Gammaproteobacteria; Lysobacterales; Rhodanobacteraceae. The record is from RNAcentral.